Long non-coding RNA from Carcharodon carcharias (great white shark), 464 nucleotides. RefSeq lists it as uncharacterized. Lineage: Eukaryota; Metazoa; Chordata; Chondrichthyes; Lamniformes; Lamnidae. The record is from RefSeq and is a predicted model, not a curated record. The transcript has 3 exons.
AGCGGUGAGCAAGGUGACCAGCCAGUUCUAAGGAAGGAGAAGGUGGUACUGAGUGUGUGCUCUGGGGGCUGCCUUAAAUGGGGAGUUCCAUCGGUUUUCCGCAGAGCACUAAAUGGAGCAACACACAGCAGGGGGAGGAGGUGGAGAUGUAGGAGCGGCAGAAGCUUAAUCCUGCGUGAAUCCCUUUUUUGUCAGCCAUUUCCAAGCAGUUUUAGCACUAGGUUGUGAACCAGAUAAUCCUGUGCGCCUGGACAACACCCUCGUGUGAGGUCAUGCUAAAUAAUCUGAUUACAUCUACAUUAUUGCUUUUGGGCAUUGUAUCCAGGAAGAAUUGCGUGCUUCCAGAAGGGUGAUGCCGAAGUCACUGAAAUCCCCAGGGAUCCACAAUGACUGUUAGUAGGUUCACUUUGGUGAUCCCUGAGGUACUAAGAUAUGUGCAUGUCAGCCAGAGUGCUCACAGCUCU